Molecule: long non-coding RNA, 245 nt
Organism: Sapajus apella (tufted capuchin)
Lineage: Eukaryota; Metazoa; Chordata; Mammalia; Primates; Cebidae
Exons: 2
Source: RefSeq, a predicted model, not a curated record
GUCCCCAGUCUCCCUUGGCGCCCCGAACCCUCCUCCUGAUGCUCUCGGGGGCCCUGGCCCUGACUGAGACCUGAGCAGGCUCCCACCCCAUGAGGUAUUUGAGCACCCCCGCUUCAUCUCCGUGGACUACCUGGACUACACGCAGAUCGCGCGGUUCGACAGCGACGCCUCGAGUCCGAGGAUGGAGCCGCGGGCGCCGUGGAUGGAGAAGGAGGGGCCGGAGUAUUGGGACCCGGGGACACGGA